This is a small nucleolar RNA of Phragmites australis (common reed), 139 nucleotides long. RefSeq annotates it as small nucleolar RNA Z247. The record is from RefSeq and is a predicted model, not a curated record. The transcript has a single exon. Lineage: Eukaryota; Viridiplantae; Streptophyta; Magnoliopsida; Poales; Poaceae.
CCACUGAAGGAGCAGGAGAUAGUUGCCUAUCUCCUCACAGGACUAGGGUCAGAUUAUGACGCCCUGGUCACAUCUAUCAUGAUGCGCGCUGAGCCAAUGUCCCUCAGCGAACUCUAUGCACAUCUGUUGAGCUAUGAAC